CGGAAAGCGACAAAGGGUACACAGUGGAUGCCUAGGCAUCUCGUGCCGAAGAAGGACGUGUUAUACUGCGAAAAGCUUCGAUGAGGUGUAUAAGGCCGUAAGAGUCGGAGGUAUCCGAAUGGGGAAACCUGUCGGGGUUCAAGUCCCGACAUCUUUGCUAUAAGCAGGGAGGGGAACCGUCCGAACUGAAACAUCUAAGUAGGGCGAGGAGAAGAGAGGAUUCUGCGAGUAGUGGCGAGCGAAAGCGGAACAGCCCAAACCAGUUGCUACGGCGGCUGGGGUUGUAGGACUUCUGAGUAGCUGUGGAUUGUUGAAGCGGAAAGGUCUGGGAAGGUCUGCCAUAGAGGGUGAUAGCCCCGUAAGCGCAGGCAAGCGCAGCGAGAAGUAUCCUGAGUACCACGAUACACGCUAACAUUGUGGGAAGCUGGGUGGUCCACCAUCCAAGGCUAAAUACACGAGAUGACCGAUAGCGCAGCAGUACCGUGAGGGAAAGGUGAAAAGAACCCCGGCGAGGGGAGUGAAAUAGAAUCUGAAAUUGUGUACUUACAACCGGUCGGGGGGUGUGGUCGAGCAGAUCAUGCCUGACGGCGUGCCUUUAGGAGAAUGAGCCAGCGAGUUAAUGCAAGUGGCGAGCUUAAGGCGGUGACAGCCGUAGGCGCAGGGAAACCGAGUCUGAAGAGGGCGUGCUGAGUGGCUUGCAUUAGACACGAAACCAGGCGAGCUAACCAUGGCCAGCGCGAAAGUGAGGUAACACUUACGGGAGGCGCGAACCCACCGAAGUUACAAAUUCGGGGGAUGAGUUGUGGUUAGAGGUGAAAUGCCAAACGAGCUUGGAGAUAGCUUGUUCUCCCCGAAAUAGCUUUAGGGCUAGCGUUGCGCGAUGGGUGCGGGAGGUAGAGCACUGUAUGGGCUAGGGGGCGUCAAGCUUACUGAACCCAAACAAACUCCGAAUGCCUGCAUGCCGAGCGCGGCAGUUGGGCUGUCUGAGAUGAGUUAGGCAGUCGAGAGGGAAAGAACCCAGACCCUCGUCUAAGGUCCCGGAGUGUAUGCUAAGUGGAAAACGAGGUGAUUGUGUUGAGACAGCUAGUAGGUUGGCUUAGAAGCAGCCAUCCUUUAAAGAGUGCGUAACAGCUCCCUAGUCAAACGCAAUUGCGCGGAUAAUGUAACGGGUCUAAAGCAUACCACCGAAGGCAGGGAUAACAUUAUAAGGUUAUGGUAGGGGAGCGUUCCAAUGGCGGUGAAGGGGUCUCGCGAGGGGCCUUGGAGCGAUUGGGAGUGCGAAUGCUGGCAUGAGUAGCGAGAAAUAGGUGAGAACCCUAUUCGCCGAAAGUCUAAGGUUUCCGACGGAAGGUCAGUCCGCGUCGGGUUAGUCGGGCCUAAGCCGAGGCUGAGAAGCGCAGGCGAUGGACAACGGGUUAAUAUUCCCGUACCGGUAUGUGGAGUAGCGAUUGCGGCUUGUGGGAGUGCCAGCCUCUGAGUGGAUUGAGGUGGCAAGCGGGGAGAGCCCGUGAGGCCGUGCUGAAAAGCAGGAAGUGGCAGUAGCCAUGGGACGAGAAAAGCGAUUGCAUACGAUGAGAUAUGCCGACCGUACCGCAAACCGACACAGGUAGACGAGUAGAGAAUACGAAGGCGAACGGGAGAACCUCUGCUAAGGAACUAGGCAAAAUGGAUCCGUAACUUCGGGAGAAGGAUCGCCGCAUACGAGGGUAUGCGGUUGCAGUGAAAAGGCUCUGCCGACUGUUUACCAAAAACACAGGUCUCUGCGAAAGCGCAAGCUGAAGUAUAGGGGCUGACGCCUGCCCAGUGCCGGAAGGUUAAGUGGAGCAGUGAGAGCUGCGAGAUGAAGCCCCGGUGAACGGCGGCCGUAACUAUAACGGUCCUAAGGUAGCGAAAUUCCUUGUCGGGUAAGUUCCGACCCGCACGAAAGGCGUAACGAGUGG
This 1940-nucleotide ribosomal RNA is filed under the name Chloroflexota bacterium. RNAcentral's name for it is "Chloroflexi bacterium partial 23S ribosomal RNA". It matches the Rfam family "Bacterial large subunit ribosomal RNA", at positions 1 to 2011 of the family's 2925-position model. Lineage: Bacteria; Bacillati; Chloroflexota. The record is from RNAcentral.